Molecule: long non-coding RNA, 1162 nt
Organism: Salvia miltiorrhiza (redroot sage)
Lineage: Eukaryota; Viridiplantae; Streptophyta; Magnoliopsida; Lamiales; Lamiaceae
Exons: 3
Source: RefSeq, a predicted model, not a curated record
CUGUUACGUGUGUCAUUAUGACCAAAUUAUUGUGAUUUUUAUUUGAGACUUUAGCACUUGGAAUUUUGAUUAAGUUUCCAAAGCAAGUGCGGUUUAUUUUUACCGAGAAAUCGAAUGAUGCCGGUUUAUGGAAAUUUUUCCAAGCAUAAUAUUUUUAAAUUAUUUUUCCUAUGAUGAGGAAUAUUAUAAUUGAGUGAGUGCACUAAUAUUAGUGCUAUAAUUAUUUUAUUUUGGUCACAUGAAUAAUUAUACUAUGGUACUUUAUUAAUGAGUAAUAUUUCCAUAGUUUUUGUGAUUAUUAUUUAAUCACCCUUCUCACAUGAUUUAUUUUUAAUUUCCCAAGUAUGAGACUAAUUACUAAAAUUUACUAAGUGUAGAGAUUGAGAGAGUAGAGAUUUAGAGAGUAGAGAUUAGAGAGAGUGUAGAGAUUAGAGAGAGAGAGAUCAAGGCAUUAAUUGCCAAAUAUUCUCAAGAUCAUCAAAUCCUCUUUAAAGAUCACAAAUCUAUCCUAAGAUUUCCAAGAUCAAUUCAUAUCUUGCUAGAGAAAUUCUCUCUCUCCUUCACUCCAAACUUUCGACCACCACCUCUCUCUCCUCUCUCUCACAUUUCCACCAUUGACAACCAUUAACGAGACCUUGGGAGCUUCACAACAUCACACCAAAAUCACAAAUCACCCUCUAAAUCUUACACUAAACACUUCCACCUCCUUGAAUUCAAGAAGAUCUUUGGAGAUUGACUUCAAGAAUAGAGAGAGAAAGUUUGAUAUUUGGUGUAAACUUGGACACGAGCAGAGCAAGGAAGUAAGUAACUCCACUUUGACGGGAGUUUUUGAGUAAGGUCUUCAGACUAAACGAGGAGUGAGAUUGGUCUGGUGCUGGCGGGGAAAUGUUGGAGGAUGUAUUUACUUUAUCGUAUUUCCAUUUUGACGAUAAAGUCUUGAUGAUUGAUAUACUUAAAUUUUCUUUUGAAGUUAAGCAAUGUACUCACGGUUAUAUGUCUUCAUACAUAUAAUCGGUUCGCCUUUUGCUGCGAUACUCUGCAUAUUAUGAUUCCUUAUGAAAAAUGAGCGAUACCCGUUUUGUUUUUGUUCGUGAAAUUCCUGAUAAUUAAAAAGUUAUAACGACAUUGACGAUUUUACCCUUGGGUUCAUUUAUAAGGAUUU